AACGAACGCUGGCGGCAGGCCUAACACAUGCAAGUCGAACGUGAAGCCACCUUCGGGUGGUGGAAAGUGGCAGACGGGUGAGUAACGCGUGGGAACCUACCUGGUAGUACGGAAUAACUCAGAGAAAUUUGGGCUAAUACCGUAUACGCCCCUAGGGGGAAAGAUUUAUCGCUAUCAGAUGGGCCCGCGUUGGAUUAGCUAGUUGGUGGGUAACUGCCUACCAAGGCUACGAUCCAUAGCUGGUCUGAGAGGAUGAUCAGCCACACUGGGACUGAGACACGGCCCAGACUCCUACGGGAGGCAGCAGUGGGGAAUAUUGGACAAUGGGCGCAAGCCUGAUCCAGCCAUGCCGCGUGAGUGAAGAAGGCCCUAGGGUUGUAAAGCUCUUUCACCGGUGAAGAUAAUGACGGUAACCGGAGAAGAAGCCCCGGCUAACUUCGUG
Molecule: ribosomal RNA, 442 nt
Filed under: uncultured bacterium
Lineage: Bacteria
Description: bacterial SSU rRNA
Rfam family: Bacterial small subunit ribosomal RNA
Source: RNAcentral